GGGUCCCGCACAAGCGGUGGUACAUGUGGUUUAAUUCGAUGAUACGCGAGGAACCUUACCUGGGCUUAAAUGCAGAACGACGUACCGGGAAACUGGUACUCCCUUCGGGGCGGACUGCAAGGUGCUGCAUGGUUGUCGUCAGCUCGUGCCGUGAGGUGUCGGGUUAAGUCCCAUAACGAGCGCAACCCUCAUUGUUAGUUGCCAGCGAGUAAUGUCGGGGACUCUAACGAAACUGCCGGUGUAAACCGUGAGGAAGGUGGGGAUGACGUCAAAUCAGCACGGCCCUUAUGUCCAGGGCUACACACGUGUUACAAUGGCCAGUACAAAGGGCAGCUACCACGCGAGUGGAUGCUAAUCUCUAAAGCUGGUCUCAGUUCGGAUUGAAGUCCGCAACUCGACUUCAUGAAGCUGGAAUCGCUAGUAAUCGCGCAUCAGCCAUGGCGCGGUGAAUACGUUCCCGGUCAUUGUACACACCGCCCUGUCAAGCCAUGGAAGCUUGGGGUACUCUGAAGUCCGUAACC
RNAcentral lists this ribosomal RNA (521 nucleotides) under uncultured organism. Its description in RNAcentral is "bacterial SSU rRNA". It matches the Rfam family "Bacterial small subunit ribosomal RNA", at positions 916 to 1435 of the family's 1533-position model. The record is from RNAcentral.